AGCGAACGCUGGCGGCAGGCUUAACACAUGCAAGUCGAACGGGCGUAGCAAUACGUCAGUGGCAGACGGGUGAGUAACGCGUGGGAACGUACCUUUUGGUUCGGAACAACCCAGGGAAACUUGGGCUAAUACCGGAUAAGCCCUUACGGGGAAAGAUUUAUCGCCGAAAGAUCGGCCCGCGUCUGAUUAGCUAGUUGGUGUGGUAACGGCGCACCAAGGCGACGAUCAGUAGCUGGUCUGAGAGGAUGAUCGGCCACAUUGGGACUGAGACACGGCCCAAACUCCUACGGGAGGCAGCAGUGGGGAAUAUUGGACAAUGGGCGCAAGCCUGAUCCAGCCAUGCCGCGUGCAGGAUGACGGCCUU
RNAcentral lists this ribosomal RNA (364 nucleotides) under uncultured bacterium. RNAcentral describes it as "bacterial SSU rRNA". It matches the Rfam family "Bacterial small subunit ribosomal RNA", at positions 29 to 418 of the family's 1533-position model. The record is from RNAcentral.